AUGUCUGCCUCUGUCAUGGCGUCUUUGGUUCUGCUGAAACCAUCUCCCUCUCCACUGUUAGGACGAGCGAAGCUCCGGGGUGUGCGACCAUCGGCGAGGCCAUCGCUGCUCAUAGUAGCCAGCAAGAAGGCGAAGAAGGUCCAGACUGCCCAACCCUACGGGCCUGGUGGUGGAGUGGUGUUCAAGGAAGGCGUCGAUGCGUCCGGAAGGGCGGCCAAGGGGAAGGGUGUUUACCAGUUUGCCGACAAGUAUGGAGCAAACGUUGAUGGGUACAGCCCGAUAUAUACACCAGAAGAAUGGUCUCCAAGUGGUGACGUUUAUGUUGGAGGAAAGACAGGGCUGUUUCUCUGGGCAGUCACUCUUUCUGGAAUUCUGUUGGGUGGUGCUCUUCUUGUCUACAAUACUAGUGCCUUGGCUUCUUGA
This 423-nucleotide ribosomal RNA is filed under the name Triticum aestivum (bread wheat). RNAcentral's name for it is "partial small subunit ribosomal RNA". The record is from RNAcentral. Lineage: Eukaryota; Viridiplantae; Streptophyta; Magnoliopsida; Poales; Poaceae.